Molecule: ribosomal RNA, 450 nt
Filed under: uncultured bacterium
Lineage: Bacteria
Description: partial 16S ribosomal RNA
Rfam family: Bacterial small subunit ribosomal RNA
Source: RNAcentral
CCUACGGGGGGCUGCAGUAAGGAAUAUUGGUCAAUGGACGAAAGUCUGAACCAGCCAUGCCGCGUGGAGGAUGAAGGUCCUCUGGAUUGUAAACUUCUUUUAUAUGGGACGAAAAAAGGGUUUUCUAACUCACUUGACGGUACCAUAUGAAUAAGCACCGGCUAACUCCGUGCCAGCAGCCGCGGUAAUACGGAGGGUGCAAGCGUUAUCCGGAUUCACGGGGUUGAAAGUGGGUGUGUAAGUGUGUGGUGAAAUCCCCGAGCUUAACUCGGGAACUGCCAUUGAUACUAUCAGUCUUGAAUACCGUGGAGGUCAGCGGAAUAUGUCAUGUAGCGGUGAAAUGCUUAGAUAUGACAUAGAACACCAAUUGCGAAGGCAGCUGGCUACCCGAAUAUUGACACUGAGGCUCGAAAGCGUGGGGAUCAAACAGGAUUAGAUACCCUAGUAGUC